Molecule: ribosomal RNA, 404 nt
Filed under: uncultured bacterium
Lineage: Bacteria
Description: bacterial SSU rRNA
Rfam family: Bacterial small subunit ribosomal RNA
Source: RNAcentral
UUGGGAAUCUUGCACAAUGGGGGAAACCCUGAUGCAGCGACGCCGCGUGGAGGACGAAGGGUCUAGGCCUGUAAACUCCUUUUACCGGGAAAGACUUAGGACGGUACCCGGGGAAUAAGGACCGGCUAACUACGUGCCAGCAGCCGCGGUAAGACGUAGGGUCCAAGCGUUGUCCGGAUUUACUGGGCGUAAAGAGCGCGUAGGCGGUCCGCUAAGUGGGAAGUGAAAGCUCCGGGCUCAACUCGGAAACGGCUUUUCAUACUGGCGGACUCGAGGGUGGCAGAGGCUUGUGGAAUUCCUGGUGUAGCGGUGAAAUGCGUAGAUAUCAGGAGGAACACCCAUGGCGAAGGCAGCAAGCUGGGCCACAUCUGACGCUGAGGCGCGAAAGCGUGGGUAGCAAACAG